Hemicordylus capensis (graceful crag lizard) is the source of this 1560-nucleotide long non-coding RNA. RefSeq lists it as uncharacterized. The record is from RefSeq and is a predicted model, not a curated record. NCBI's taxonomy places the organism in Eukaryota, Metazoa, Chordata, Lepidosauria, Squamata, Cordylidae. The transcript is spliced from 2 exons.
AGAAGUUUGUCAACUCUCAAAUGUAUAAAGAACAGGCUGACGAGGACUUCAUAUCGGACCAGAUUUUUGGGAACACAUUCCCAGACCGUAUCAAGACUUUCUAUGCAGACAGCCUCUUGGGACUUGGGCAGUUUCAGUUGGAUUUCAAAUAUCGUGGGCGAGAGAGGCUUUUCAAGGCCUAUGGAGACAGUUUGGGCGGCGGGCAAGGGAGUAACACCGGUGUAUCUCAGGUCUCUUUCUUUGCAAGACGGCCAGCGCGUCAUGAGUCAGUCACUCGACAAAGAGGCUAUUUCAGUUCACCACCAGUCUGCCCGGCCGGCCUCCAGAAAGCACAGAAGACUCCUUCGGCGUUUAAAAAGAGCGGGCUUUUUUUUUCUUCUUCAAAAGAGUGAAGGGAAGAGGAGUAUGCCGGGCUUUCCGCUCAGGAGCAACAGAAGGGCGCGCUCCCCCUGCCUCCCUGAAAAAGGGGUGGACGUGGACCAGCCCCUAAAGCAAAGUCGGAGCCGUGUUUGUUUUUGCGAGGUGUGCAGCAGACGGAGAGCACGUUUUGCCGCAGGGGGAUUACUUUGGCAUGCCUUAUGGUUGCGGAGGGACACACACAACUCGCUAACCUAGACACUCACGAGUCCGGGGGGGGGGGGGACAAAGGAAGGGCCAGAAGAAGUCCUGAGCUAACGCCUCCGGGGUCUGCGGCUGGGGAGGGACUGCGUAGGAGGACGGGUGGGGAAGGCAGAGGCUAAUUACCUGGCAGAGGCCGGAUGGUCUUCUUUCCGCUAACUCUGUUCAGGCAGCGACUGGAAAGAGAAACAGAAAGUGAGAGAAACAGGAGACUUUGUUGCUCUCCAGCCCGAGAAGCGGGAUGCUUCUAGCUGCCAGUGACCCGAGAGGCAACAGCCCGGUUUGAGUCGGACAGAUCUGCCCCUGGUGGCCGGAGGCUGUGGCGACUACUAGUUUCCAUCGCCAAGAAGGGAGAUUUCCCCACUCCGUCCUGCUGGGAUUUCCCUCCACGUCUCCGUCUCCGUCGCCUUCUGGCUGGCUGCUAGCAAAGUUUGAGCCAGCGCCUCAUGUCAGUGUCUGGGCUCAGCUCUGUCUGGAGGAUCAUACGAAGUAAUAAAGGAGCGAGUGCUACAGAGCAUAUGCAAAGAGUGCCUUUUCCUCCUCGGCUAUUGAGGAAUUACAGUCAGCCCCCACACAUCUGUGAAUGACACACAGACUUCCGGAUCAAAAGAUUACGCCUCGGGCGAGCAUAAGACUUCUUGUUUUCUAUCCUCGCACUGCUUUGGAAACCAGGCAUUUUACGUUGUUGCGAGUCCUGCCCUUUAAACAGAUAGUUAUAGAUCUAUCUCGACUCAAGUGAGGCUAUUGGUUUAUAAAACAGUGCAUUUUUAAAGAACGAUUCCGCAUCAAGUGGCAAGCUGCAAUCAAGUGAUCCUCUGGACCCUCACUUCUUUAAUAUGUCACAAACACAGUGCAGCUGUGAGUUCUCCUGCUCUACUUCUCCCCCAAUUCCUUUGUCUGCUUAGCCAUGGGGCAAAAUAAAUCCAUGCUUUAAAAGGUAAA